AACUAACGCUGGCGGCGCGCCUAAUACAUGCAAGACGAACGGUAAGUUGAGUAGCAAUACUUAGCCAAGAGUGUCGUACGGGUGCGUAACACGUAUGCAACCUACCCUAUACAGGAGGAUAGCCUAGGGAAACCUGGAUUAACCCUUCAUAGUAUUAUUGGAUGGCAUCAUUUGAUAAUUAAAACUGAGGUGGUAUAGGAUGGGCAUGCGUCUGAUUAGUUAGUUGGCGGGGUAAUGGCCCACCAAGACGAUGAUCAGUAGGGGUUCUGAGAGGAAGAUCCCCCACACUGGCACUGAGAUACGGGCCAGACUCCUACGGGGAGGCCAGCAGUAGGGGAAUAUUGGUCAAUGGAUGCAAGUCUGAACCAGCCAUGCCG
RNAcentral lists this ribosomal RNA (377 nucleotides) under uncultured bacterium. Its description in RNAcentral is "bacterial SSU rRNA". It matches the Rfam family "Bacterial small subunit ribosomal RNA", at positions 29 to 399 of the family's 1533-position model. The record is from RNAcentral.